CGAGCGNGCCCUUCGGGGUGAGCGGCGGACGGGUUAGUAACGCGUGGGAACGUACCCAGAUCUAAGGAAUAGCCACUGGAAACGGUGAGUAAUACCUUAUACGCCCUUCGGGGGAAAGAUUUAUCGGAUUUGGAUCGGCCCGCGUUAGAUUAGAUAGUUGGUGGGGUAACGGCCUACCAAGUCUACGAUCUAUAGCUGGUUUUAGAGGAUGAUCAGCAACACUGGGACUGAGACACGGCCCAGACUCCUACGGGAGGCAGCAGUGGGGAAUCUUGGACAAUGGGCGCAAGCCUGAUCCAGCCAUGCCGCGUGAGUGAUGAAGGCCUUAGGGUCGUAAAGCUCUUUCGCCAGGGAUGAUAAUGACAGUACCUGGUAAAGAAACCCCGGCUAACUCCGUGCCAGCAGCCGCGGUAAUACGGAGGGGGUUAGCGUUGUUCGGAAUUACUGGGCGUAAAGCGCGCGUAGGCGGGUUGUUAAGUUAGAGGUGAAAUCCCGGGGCUCAACCCCGGAACUGCCUUUAAUACUGGCAACCUAGAGUUCGAGAGAGGUGAGUGGAAUUCCGAGUGUAGAGGUGAAAUUCGUAGAUAUUCGGAGGAACACCAGUGGCGAAGGCGGCUCACUGGCUCGAUACUGACGCUGAGGUGCGAAAGUGUGGGGAGCAAACAGGAUUAGAUACCCUGGUAGUCCACACCGUAAACGAUGAAUGNCAGUCGUCGGGUAGCAUGCUAUUCGGUGACACACCUAACGGAUUNANCAUUCCGNCUGGGGAGUACGGUCGCAAGAUUAAAACUCAAAGGAAUNGACGGGGGCCCGCACAAGC
This 820-nucleotide ribosomal RNA is filed under the name Shimia sp. MR08-68. RNAcentral's name for it is "bacterial SSU rRNA". It matches the Rfam family "Bacterial small subunit ribosomal RNA", at positions 63 to 930 of the family's 1533-position model. Lineage: Bacteria; Pseudomonadati; Pseudomonadota; Alphaproteobacteria; Rhodobacterales; Roseobacteraceae. The record is from RNAcentral.